UAAAACCAUCAGAUCUCAUGAAACGUAUUCAGUAUCAUGAGACUAGCAUGGGAAUGACUGGUCCCCAUGAUUUAAUCACCACCAUCCCCAGGUCCCUCCCACAACAUGAGGGAAUUAUGGGAGAUACAAUUCAAGUUGAGAUUUGGGUGGGGACACAGCCAAACAAACCACACCACCGAGAUAAUAUAUUCUCUCUUCUUCUGUCUUUCUCUUGAAGCGUUGACAAAAGAGUAGUGUCAUGGCUGGGCUAGAUCUGAAAUGUUCAAAUAGAACUGUUUCCUUCAAAGUUGUAGAGCUCCUCUAGCAUCCAGAAGUUGGAAGUCAGUUUGACUUUUUGUCCGUGUUUGGCAGGCUGCUUCUUCCGUCUUCAGAUUUGGAAGGUUGUUACUCCAGCCACCUCACUGUGUCAUGUGUACCUAGGUGCUGUUCUUUCAUCAAAUUUGCCUGAUAAUGAGUGCUUUUGAUAUGCAGAUUUGGAUAUUUUUUGAGCUCCAGAACGUGUUCUAUUUAUGUCUUUGAAGAUUGCUUAUUUCCUGUGAAAACCAAGAGUUCCUUCCCAUUUGCAACCAAAGUGAAAUCAGUAUUUUCCAGCACAGUCAUUUCCCCCUCUGCAGGCCUGGCCAGGAUGCUGUCCCAGCCCUCCCUGCCUCCACGGCCCUGAUAUCCCCUGCCUGACUAGGUCGGCCUCCUCCCUGCUCCUGAAGACUGGCUCUGGAGAGGCUGUGGCCCCUGCCGUCCUCUCUGCCAUGGACAUUCUCCCCUCAGUCCUCUGCAAGGCUGCCUCUCACUCAAAUGCCAAGACAUUUCCAGAACAUCCUAGCUGAAGGGGCACUUGCCCAUCACAAGCCCCAGCCACGGGGUCUCACUCUUCUUAUGGCAUUAGUCAGUCACUGAGAUGAUCUUAUUUUUCUCAUAUUUUUAGCACCCUCCACCUGAGGGCAGGGGCUCUGUCCCCUUGCUCUCUGCUCUAGCCACAGUGCCUCAAACACAGCCUGGUAUGCAGCAGGCACCCUUGGGUAGGACACCUUUGGGUGGGGCUGCCUGACCCAACCCCACAGCAGAACCACCACUUCCCCACAUGCUGGGUGUCUAUGGUCUCACAAGCCCUCCCAUGUACCUGGUGCAAUUCUAGAUUCUUCUGAAACGAGCACCCGUGUUACUGCUGGGCUCUCCCAAAGGUUUGAAUCUGCUCAUUGCUACCAUCUUAUAACUCUGAUGCUGCUGGGUUUGUUGAAAAUACCACUUCCUCUUCUCAGCUCCCUGGGUUUUCUUCUCGCCUUUCCACCUGCUCCUUCUCUGUGUUCUCAUGAGUAAGAGCCCUCCAGCCAGCAGCAGCUCCCUGGCCUCUGCUUGAUUCUUGUACUCAGUCCUUUGAAAAAUAAGGUCUCCUCCCACCUGUUGCAGGAAACAUUAUUUCGGGGGUACAUCAGUGGUUGGCUGGCCUUCAGGUUGCUCUGAUUUGAACAAUCCUUGCUGCUUUUCUGCGUGCCCUGCUAGCAGAGCCCUAACUCUCACCUGCCGUUAAUUAUGCCUUAUCCCAUUGUGCAUCCUUUCCCUGCUGCCCCGCCCACCACCUGUGAAACGUCAGCUCCCUGAGGGCCUUUGUCCACUGCCAGAGCUCCCAUGGAGCAUGCGCCCAGCAAGCGCACGGAGAAUGUUUGUGAAUGAAGACAUGAAUGGACAAGUGAAUGAGUGCAUGGGCGGCAAGUAGCUCUCAUUGAGUCCUACAAGAUGUGGCCCCAAGGCCCUGUGACUUCUAUACCCACCACAUGCAAGCUCUGUCCCCCAGCAGCCACAGUGUCCCCUCCAGGCAGCCUCUAAUAAUGAAUGAAUGACUACAUGAAUGAAUGAAUGGUUAUCAAUUACUAAUUAGAAUUAGCAUCUUCUUUGACUCUUCGCUUACUGCUGUGAUUCAGUCCGGCCUUCAAGUACCCUCAGCUUGUUGCAGGUUCAGUGAUUGAAGUGGACAGACCCUCUAGAGGCCCUGUGAUCCUCACCCCCCAGAGUGACAUAUCCCCUUGAGUGUGGGUGGGCCUCUGACUUUGCCAUAGAUUAUGCAAAGGUGAUGAGAUGUCACUCUCAUGAUCAGGUCUCCUAAGAUUGAGACUCUGUCCUUGCUGAGACAGUCCCUCUUCACUUGCUCAGAAGAAGCAAGCUGCCCUGUUGUAGUGAACGGCCCUCAGGGGAGGGCGGGGCAGGAUAGUAAGGACCUAAGGCCUGGGCUGACGGCCUACAAGGGGCAGAAAGCUGCCAAAAACCACAUGAGCUUGGACUCUCCCAGCCGAGCCUCAGAUGAGACCCCAGCCCUGGUUGACGCUGGAUUCUAGCUUCACAGAGGACCUUGCUGGGCCUUGCCUGACUCAACCCACAGGAACACAACGUGUGCUGUUGGAAGAGGACAUGUCUCUGCAACACUGCUGUGCAGCCCUAGAUAACUAACACAGUGACCUGGUCACACAAAGCAAUGGUCAGGAUCCUGGGAUUGGGGAUUCCCAGCUCCAACAUAUCCCUUUCUGUUAACAGCACCUGCUCUGCCUGGGUCAGCCCCACUGGGGUGAGUCUCCUUCCAGCUCAGGGAUAGCCCUUUCUCUCUGGUCAGCAGCCACUUUACACAUGGCCCCUGCCGAGGCCCCAACCAUCUCUGCAGCUGCUGUGGCUGCUGCGUCUGUCUGUGGAGCUCAUGUAAACCCUGGGCAGAAGCCUUGGGCUAUGAGAAGGAAGAUGCCUUCUGCUUUCUGUGCAAAGGUGCUGCUGCCUGAGGCUCCUUGUCUGAACCCCAAAGGCUGUCACCUUCCUAACCCCCGAUUUAACCCCAAGAAAAGCUGUCCUCUGAGUCCCAUGGCCCUCCCUCCAAAGCUUCACUUCUCUCCAGGCCUACAGUGUCUGGGGCACAGGCUUUCUUCUACAUAUUAAUGCUUAAAGGCAUGAUUUGCUAGUCAUUUUUUUACAAAAUUUUGCAAAAAAUAAUUCCUCAAAUAUUCAGCCAUUUAGAUUACACAGGUUUUUGCAUACUUAUAUAUGUUCUGGGUCACUUUUCUUUUUACAGUUGGACACAGGAGGAAAGAAUCAAAUGUAUAUCUUCAUGCAUUUUCCCAGAACCAUAGAGAAUCCAUAUGGUGUGUAGUCUGCUAACAGUGAGAUAAACCCUCUGUUAUUAGUCUCUGAAAUUAAAUACGUAAAGAACCAGGCUCAGAAUUACCACCACCAAGCACGGGUGGAACCAAGUACUUUGUUAUUAAUCCCAUCUGUAUUUGCAUAUUCCAGUUGGGAAGACAGCUGUGUACAUUGUUAUCAUUGUCAUCAUCUCUGUCAUUAUUUUGAACGACAUUCAUUGAUCAUUUCCUAUAUGAGAGCGCCUCUGCAAGGAUAGAUAGAUGGGAGGAUUGACUUCUCUUUUAAAUCCCCAUAACAAUUUGGCACAAUUCAGUAAAUACACACUUUAUAGACUUCCUGAAACUGCCUGGCUGGGUGCUGGCCCUCUGUGGAUUUAUCGCUCACCCCUGACCUGAUCGUGUAUAAUGGGAAACUGCGUCGGCCUUUGGCUGGCUCAGAACAAAGGACCCACCUGUACCACAGCUGAGCUGAGAGAAUGGAGGCAUUUGUCCUUAACUCAGAACAGUCCCCAGACUUAUUGAUCUCAGAACCAAAUGUCAAAUACCCCACUUUCCGAAAUAAUUGUCUCUCUUGAAAGUUCUGUGCAAAUUGAAUUUUUAUAAAUCAAAUUGUAUUGUAAAGCCAGUAAAGAGAAGUGCUGCUUAUGGGAAGCUUGUUUGCCUUACUUUAUAAAUGGAAGCAAACCGUGCUAUGAAUAAGAGCUGUUAGUUAACUUUGCUUAUAAAGCCUUUUGAAAAUGUUCACUUUUUUUUUUUAUAAUAUUUGUUUUUUUGAAAGGGGGGUUGCCAGUUCUGCGACUGUAUGUUUGGAACAUCAAUGAAGCGGGGGCCUUGAGAGUAUCCGGAGUCGAAAAGGAUUUCCCAUUCCAGGGAAGGGUCUGGAAUAGUAAAGAAGGCAUGGCUUCUAGAGUCCUCUGCUAUCCCCUCAUGACACAUUGAUUGAGCACAGUCGGUGCCAGCCACCUUUCCAGUCUUGGUUCACUCCUGAGUCCAGUGGGUCUCCAGUGUGAGUGUGCACCACAGUCACCCGGGGGUCUAUCAAAACACAG
Molecule: long non-coding RNA, 4162 nt
Filed under: Homo sapiens (human)
Lineage: Eukaryota; Metazoa; Chordata; Mammalia; Primates; Hominidae
Description: HSALNT0279045
Source: RNAcentral